This 252-nucleotide ribosomal RNA is filed under the name uncultured bacterium. Its description in RNAcentral is "partial 16S ribosomal RNA". It matches the Rfam family "Bacterial small subunit ribosomal RNA", at positions 524 to 776 of the family's 1533-position model. The record is from RNAcentral.
UACGGAGGAUGCGAGCGUUAUCCGGAUUUAUUGGUUUUAAAGGGUGCGUAGGCGGGCUUUUAAGUCAGCGGUAAAAAUUCGGGGCUCAACCCCGUCCGGCCGUUGAAACUGGGGGCCUUGAGUGGGCGAGAAGAAGGCGGAAUGCGUGGUGUAGCGGUGAAAUGCAUAGAUAUCACGCAGAACCCCGAUUGCGAAGGCAGCCUUCCGGCGCCCUACUGACGCUGAGGCACGAAAGUGCGGGGAUCGAACAGG